CUCAGCGGAGUAGGGGCUGUGAGAGAUUUGAGAAAGGGCGAAUCAAAGUUGGAUCCCGUGGCCAAUCUCAAGGCGUAGAUGAUGAGAGCUCCUCGCAUCCGUCCAACUCACUACAUACUCACGGGUUGAAUUUGUGAACUUUGACAUCAAAACAGUCAUCAUGGAAAUCAAGAGGGGGAAGAGAAUGCGGCCACUAGAGUACCUGGUCAAUAUAAUGGAUAACCUGUGGAUUGGAUCUGAGGACCUCCCCGACCCUUCACCGAAUGCGAACACAUACGGCCUGUCUGAUUGGUCCAGAAACUGAUGGGUUGGGGCAGAGCCAGAACACUCGUGGGUAAAGUGCCGUUUUGAAAACAUUGGCUUUGAUACUCUGAUUGGUUAGAGAUUAUCCAAUCGCUGAUGACUUUGAUUUGUACAACACCACUCGUGCCUCUCGUCACCACAAAUUACGUCAAUGAUGGCAGUCUCAGACUAAAGUAUGUAUCGAAAGACAGCGCAGCAGAAUCUUUGUUGUUGUUUUACUUCCUGAAUUAAAAAUGUAUUACAUUUAGAUUUUUUUUGUCACUGGCCUACACACAA
This is a long non-coding RNA of Salvelinus sp. IW2-2015, 579 nucleotides long. RefSeq lists it as uncharacterized. Lineage: Eukaryota; Metazoa; Chordata; Actinopteri; Salmoniformes; Salmonidae. The record is from RefSeq and is a predicted model, not a curated record.